RNAcentral lists this long non-coding RNA (2135 nucleotides) under Homo sapiens (human). RNAcentral's name for it is "long non-coding RNA NONHSAT173461.1". The record is from RNAcentral. Lineage: Eukaryota; Metazoa; Chordata; Mammalia; Primates; Hominidae.
AGCUGUCCCCCGCCACCACCCUUAGAGGCGGAGAAUGGCUACAGUGGACUUUGCUGUAUUUCCCUCCCCUAGGUUAGUUAGGCCCUCAAGACCCCAAUAGCUUAGACUCUGGUUAAACUGGUUCUCCUGAGGGCGGAUUUCUUUUUUCUUUUUUUAAGUUCUGGGACACAUGUGCAGAACGUGCAGGUUUGUUACCUAGGUGUACACGUGCCAUGCUGGUUUGCUGCCCCUCUCAACCUGUCAUCUAGGUUUUAAGCCCCGGACGCAUUAGGUGUUUGUUCUCAUGCUCGCCCUCCCCUUGCCCCCACCCACCGACAGGCCCCGGUGUGUGAUGUUCCCCUCCCUGUGUCCAUGUGCUUUCAUUGUUCAACUCCCACUUAUGAGUGAGAAAAUGGGGUGUUUGGUUUCCUGUUCCUGUGUUGGUUUGCUGAGAAUGAUGGUUUCCAGCUUCAUCCCUGUCCCUGCGAAGGACAUGAACCCAUUCUUUUCCUAAAGAGGGCAGAGCACUCUGGCGUAUUUCAAAAUGGUCCCUUCUCCCCUGUCUCUGCUAGAGCCCUGAGGGGGUUUUCUCUGAUUUUCGCUGUGAGAACCUGGCAGCAUUCCAGGAAGUAAAAUUCACAAGAGCAUGGAGACCUCCUGUGAGUGGGUCUUCCCGGGAGUCCUUAGCUCUCAGACUUGUCCACAUGCUACUGAGAAAGCCGGUUGCCCAAAAGAUGGGGUCCUUCCCUGUUUGGUGUCACGAAGCCGAUACAUGAAACCGAAGCCGACUUUAUUCAGUGACCACGGACUGAGAAGCAGGAGCUUGGCCCACAGUUCAACUUCUCAACAGGUGAGCGGGCAGGGGCUAAAUGUAGGGUUUCUGUACUGAAGGGGCUGGAGGUGAACAGCGAGGGGAAGAAUAUUCAUGUCUUCUGGAAAUGGGCGGUGAACUUCCCGCUGUCUUCCUUUCCUUGGCUGCUUUUGUCAGUUGUCGUGGCUCUAACCAGUCUCAACUGUUCGGGUAAAAAGAGGAACUUUUUAUCACAGCCGUCCUGUUUCUUUUUUUCUUUUUUUUUUUUUUUUUUGAGACGGAGUCUCGCUCUGUCGCCCAGGCUGGAGCAAAGUGGCGCCAUCUCGGCUCACUGCAGGCUCCGUCUCCUGGGUUCACGCCAUUCUCCUGCCUCAGCCUCCCGAGUAGCUGGGACUACAGGCGCCCGCCACCACGCCCGGCUAAUUUUUUUGCAUUUUUAGUAGAGACGGGGUUUCAACGUGUUAGCCAGGAUGGUCUCGAUCUCCUGACCUCGUGAUCCGCCCGCUUCGGCCUCCCAAAGUGCUGGGAUUAUGGGCAUGAGCCACCGCGCCCAGCCGGGUGUCCUGUUUCUUAAACACAGUUGGCAAAGGGUAGAAGUUCAGCAACGCAGGCAUCGCACCAGGUCACACACACCCAGCCCCAGCACUUCGUCAUCUGGUUCAGGUUUUCCAGCCCUGGAUCCUGUGGAGGUGUCAGCCCCAGUCUGCUGAGUCUGUCUCCUGAUCUGGGGCAGCGGUUUGCCCUGUGGCCUUUCCUCUCUCACAGACCUAAGAAGGACCGUCGAUAUUUUCCAGCCUGUUUAGCCUUUUACUUGUUGGGAUAGAAUAUGGCCAGUUCCAAACUUCCUACCUGCUGGAGACCUGGGGUCCACACGUUUCCUUAACACCAUCAUCUUUCUCCUCUCCUGGCAUCAGUCCUGGUCACUGUGCUCACGCCAGCCUCUCCAUCCCGGCUCCUCUUCCAACUCUGCUUCCUGCUUCAGUGACUCGGAUGUCGCCCUUCGCCCCAUGCCCAGGAAACCGGAGGUGGCAGUGGGGGAAGGGAGGGAGGCGUGGAGAAGAUACCCUGUCACCAUCUCCAUGCCCCUCCCCGGGACCACACAGGUCGCCUGGGCCCUGACCAAAUGGUUCGUUGUCCGCCAAGCCAGACAGCAGGGCAGGCGCGCUCUGUGCAAAACCGAGUCGUGUGCGGGCCCAGGGUGGCGCUCGGGGCGCUUCCAGCGCACGUCACCUCAUCUGCGUCGUCACCACUGUCGCCUCCGAAAGCGCAUUCCGUCGUCAAAAUACACCACGAGGUCCCGGGUGCCCUCACCGCCCUCCCCUUCCUCGCCCUCUCGUCGUUGCUG